AUGUCUAGUAGGUCUUCUUCAGUUAGAACUGAAGCAGGCAGUGGAGGUAGCAUGGAUGCAGUCCAUGUAUUGGCUGCUGCUCGUGUGAUUCCGGAAGAUGAUAAUGAGAAGAAGCCUUUGUGGAGGUACGUCCAGACGUUGGAAAAUACUAGGAAAGGGAAAGGAGGCAACAAGAGAUCCAUGUGUAGGCUUUGUGAGUAUGUUAUCAAUGGUAGCUACUCAAGAGUAAAGGCACACCUUUUGAAGAUUCCUAACAUGGGUGUGAGUUCAUGUCAAAAGGUCACUGUCGAUGUUCUUGUUCAGUUGAAAGGUGAGCAAGAGAGAGCCGAUGCACUGAUUGAGAGCAAUAAACCUAGAGAAAUCCCACUGCCAACUGAAGGAUUUGGAGCAAAUGCAAGAAAGAAAAGGGGGGGUAAUCCAAUUGAGGCAUGCUUUGACAUGGAAGCUCGCAACCACCUUGAUGCAUUGAUCGCAAGGAUGUUUUACACAGCAGGGAUCCCAUUCAAUGUUGCACGUAAUCCUUGGUUCAGGGCAGCUUUCAUCUUUGCUGCCGGCCAUGCCAAUUCGUUGGCUGGCUAUGCCCCUCCAAGUUAUGAUAAGCUCAGGACCACUCUUCUGGUGCAAGAGAGGACACAUGUUGAUAGAAUGUUGAUGCCCAUCAAAUCAACAUGGAGCAGCAAAGGUGUGACUAUUGUUUCAGAUGGAUGGUCUGAUCCUCAAAGGCGUCCAUUACUUAAUUUCAUGGCUAUAACAGAAGAUGGGCCCAUGUUUCUAAGGUCAAUUAACACCGAGGGAGAGGUGAAGUCAAAGGAGUACAUCAGGGACAGGCUUUGUGAAAUUAUUGAGGCUGUUGGACCAGCAAAUGUUGUGCAGGUGAUAACAGAUAAUGCAUCAAACUGCAGGGGCGCAGGUCUGUUGGUGCAAGAAAGGUAUAAUCACAUUUUCUGGACUCCAUGUGUUGUGCACACUUUAAAUCUUGCCUUGAAGAGCAUAGGUUCAGCUACUAGCCAGGAUGACCCUCUUUAUGAUCAUUGCAAUUGGAUUAGUGAGAUUGCAGCAGAUGGCUUUCGCAUAAAACAUUUCAUUAUGAGUCAUUCCAUGAGGUUGUCUAUGUUCAAUGCUAGUAGUAAACUGAAAUUGCUUGCUGUGGCUGAUACUAGAUUUGCUUCUCAAGUUGUGAUGUUGAAGAGACUGGUACAAAUAAGACAAGCUCUAACAAUGAUGGUGGUGGGGCCAAAGUGGAAUGACUACAGAAAUGACAAUGUAGAAGGAGCACGAUUUGUGAAAGAAAAAAUACUGGAUGAUGAUUGGUGGAAUAAGGUUGAGUACUUCAUUGAAUUUGCAGAGCCAAUAUAUUCUAUGAUUAGAGCAGCUGAUACAGAUAAACCCUGCCUUCAUCUGACCUAUGAGAUGUGGGAUAUGAUGAUUGAGAAGGUGAAGGAAGUAAUAUACAGGAAAGAAGGUCUAGAACCCCAUGAAGAAUCCCCAUUCUUCUCUGCGGUCAAUGAUGUCUUAAUUUUUCGCUGGACAAAGAGUAGCACUCCGCUGCAUUGCUUGGCUCACUCGCUCAAUCCCAAGUACUACACUACAGCCUGGAUUAGUGAAGUUCCAGGCCAUCAAGCUCCACACAUGGAUCAAGAGAUUUCAGAUGAAAGAAAUGCAUGCUUUAGAAGAUUCUUUCCUCAUGGGGGCCCAGAAAUGAAUGAACUGAAACAGCAGUUUGCCAACUUCAGUCUUAUGGGUCCUGGAUUUAAUGGUUUCGACUCCAUUGAAGAUAGAUCUUUGCUAGAGCCGAAGCAGUGGUGGGGGAUUCAUGGAAAUUCUGCCCCGGCUUUGAGGACCAUUGCUCUGAAAUUACUUGGGCAACCAACCUCCUCUUCUUGUUCUGAAAGGAAUUGGAGUACAUAUGGCAUGAUACACAAUACAUUGAGGAACAGGCUCAACCCUGCACGUGCUGAAGAUUUAGUUUUUGUGCAUCAAAACUUGCGCCUUAUUUCAAGGAAAUCACCAGAGUAUAUAUCUGGCCCAUCCAGAUUUUGGGACAUUGGAGGAGAUAGAUAUGAGCUGUUCGUUGGUGGUGCUGACUUCCUGCAGCAAGCUGAACUAUCACUAGAUGAGCCUGAACUGGAGGACUUGCUGAAUGAAAUUGAAGCGUUGGAUGUGGAUUAG
Molecule: ribosomal RNA, 2169 nt
Filed under: Triticum aestivum (bread wheat)
Lineage: Eukaryota; Viridiplantae; Streptophyta; Magnoliopsida; Poales; Poaceae
Description: partial small subunit ribosomal RNA
Source: RNAcentral